Sesamum indicum (sesame) is the source of this 2833-nucleotide long non-coding RNA. RefSeq lists it as uncharacterized. The record is from RefSeq and is a predicted model, not a curated record. Lineage: Eukaryota; Viridiplantae; Streptophyta; Magnoliopsida; Lamiales; Pedaliaceae.
UCUCCAUUUGCAAUAAACCCUAGUUUUGCACUAGUUCUAUCUCCAAUCAAAACUCCUAAAUCUCUUCAAAUCCGAUUUGAUUCUGUUCCUAAUCUUAUAUUUUGAAGUGGAAAAGGUGUUUGAAGACCGGAAAAGUGAAUCUCGACGACUUUAAUCGAAAAAAAGGUAUGUAUGCUCAUCUCCCAUUCUCUUAUCUCGGUUUUUCUUAUCUUUGUAGAGGUUUCAGUUUAUUCGAGUAGGAUUUCUGCAUUUUUACGAUAAAAAUCAUAUUAUUUGUGUACUUUGAAACCAAACAUGACGUCCAAAUUUGAGAGUUUUAAGUUUUUUGGUUUCUUUUGUAUCGAUGUGGAUGAUUUUUUUUGUACAAAAUUAAGAAACAAAUCUUGUUUUUCAUGUGUAGUAUCUUGAUUCGUGCAUCAUACAUGCAAAUGUUAGUUUAUUUGAUGAAAGAAAUUGAUUUAUAUUGUCUAUUUUUUAGGAUGGAGGAAUGCAAAAUUUUGAUAUGUAUGAUGAUUGUGCCUUUUAAGUGAAAUGACUUAUCUUGAUUAAUUACUGAAUGUAAAUUGCAGUAUAAAUGUAUGGAAGAGUUUGAUCUUGUGUAUCAACAUCACUAACUUGUGCAUUUCAUCCAUUUGAGCUCUGUUUUUCGAUCUUAACUUUCUAAACUAGAACUUUGACUCCUUUCUUUUUACAAUCCAAUUUUUAAUGUGUUCUUUAACUAUUGGGUGGGGGAACUUAGAAUUAAACUAAUCUUAGCAUUGGUGGAUGGAUUGAAGGCCAAAAUAAUGUGUAGAUUGUAUAAAAAAAAAAAAAAAAGAGAAGGGCAGAAAAUGGAUUGUAUUCUUGUACCUAAUGCAGUGAAGGAAUUGAACAGUAUUUAGGAGUCAAGGAGAUGUCACCUCUUAGUGGCUGGGGAGCAUGAGUGUGAAGUUCCUACAUCGUAACCUUGAGGGGAAAAAUAUGUAAUUGUCAGGUAGGGAUAUAUUUGGGAUUCCCUAUAGGCAUGCAACUUUUUGGAUAAAUCACAGAUGGGAGAAUGCAGAAAAUUACUCAGUGUAGUUAAUAGCGCGCUAUGGUGCGCGCCAUACGGCGUCCAUGGCGACGUCCUUCUAUAUGGCGUCGCCGUAGCGCGCGCCUGGGUGCCAUUUCGGCAUUGCCCAGGCGCUCCAUGUGAAGGGGCCUGGGCAGCGGGCUGCUGGCUAGGCUGCAGCUCGCCCAGGCCCAUGAAAUUAAAAAAAAAAGGGUAAACCCUAAUUAAAAAAAAGGAUUGACUCGUCAGUUCUGUCUUGACUUUUCAGUUCUCACUUGAUUCUUCAGUUCUCACAUGACUUUUCAGUUCUCUCUUCUCUUGUUCGGUUCUUCCUCUGCCAAGUGCCAACAGAUCUUCUUCUUAAUUAUUCUCUAGUUCUCUUCUUCUCUUCCAUAUAACUUAUAAGCAUCUUGUCCUGCCGCUGCUGUUCACACUUCACCGUAACGGAAUGACUUUUUUCUAAAUUAAUUACAGUUUUUUAUUGUAUGUUUAUGUUGAUGUUGAUAUUUAUUGUAGAUUUUUGCCAAAAAUCAUGAAACUCAAAACUACAUGCAGCAUACUUAAAGAUGAUGAAGUAACUAUUGUUUAGAUUCUUAUAAAUAAAAUAUAAAUAUUAUAUAUAUAUAUAUGUAUAUAUAUAACGCAUUUAAUAUUAAUUAUAUAAAUAUAUAGAUUAUUUGUUAUAUUUGCGCCAACCUUCGAAAAGGCGCGCGCCGCGCCGUGCACCGUGCGCCAUGGCUCCAGGAGCCCUUGGCGCCAUUGUACGUCGUGCGCCACUAACUACUAUGAAAUUAUUGUAACAGUAGGUUUUUCCUAGAUAAAUACAUGAAAUCCUACAAAUAUUCUAUACAUCCAGUACUAGAUCAGACCUUUUGGCCUUUGGGGGAGGAUGUUGCCCAUAUUACUCUUAUGCCUCCAGUUAGUAAGAGAAUGCCAGGCAGGCCUAAGAAAAAUAGAGGAAAGGAACCCAGUGAGGCACCUAAUGCAGCCAAAAGAUCAAGCAUAGUUACAUAUAAUGCUUGCAAUAAAUUAGGGCAUAAUAGAAUAACAUGCCCAAGCAUUCACGUAUUUCAAGAGUUUAUAUCCAUCUCCUUUUACAUGUACAUUUUCCUUUUUGUUGUUUGAAUUCUUCUAUCACCCUUGGUUUUUUCUGUUUUUAUAAUUUCAAAGCUUUUUUUUUAUCUUUCCAUGGCAUCUUCUGAUGACUCAAUGAGAUUCAUGGGGGAGAAUUCUAUCGGCGAUGACCCCACCGAAGCAAUAUUGAGGGUGACGGGCUCAAGAUCGAUCUCCUAGAGAUGACCCAAGCGCCUGCAGCCUGAGGCAGGUGGCCACCUUACAGCGUUGUUUGGUCAAUGAGCCUUCUAACCUAGAAGAAAAUUCCUUUGGUGAGACUGAGGGGAAAGUUUCCUUGAGGGAGGAAGAGGAGAGAGAAGAGUCAAUUGCGGUUGGUGAUGAGGGGGAUAGAGCCACUAGCCCUAUCCUGAUCCCAAGAUGCAGACGACCACCGACUAGAAAAUGAUUAUGACGUCUACUACGAUUGUCGUGGGUUGGUGGAUGAAAAACUCCUCGACAAUUUGGCUUGAGCUCUAAGGCGGUCCACUUGGACGAGCUCAUCGAAGGCCUCAUUUUCAACAAAUUGUUGAAGGAGAUUGUCAAGGGUAGCCCUAGGGGUCGCCAAGCUGUUCUUACUACGAUGACUUUCGAAAGUACACCAGCCUCUAAUGAUUCUUGAGGGAUGUUCCCAGAGACGGCACCUCACGGAUUUUCCAAGCAGACCAAGGGGAGCUCCUCAAGCCAGCCUCA